GGGCUCAGCCUCUGCCCCUGUCCCGGGCCGUGUCCCUCCCACACGGCUCAUCCGCUUCCCUGGGAGACAUGCAGUCACGGCCUGUGGGGCAGGACAAGGGGGUCAUAGAAAGCGAGGGUGGGAAGGGACUUCAAGCGGUCACAUCUCAUCCAACCCCUACUCAAAGCAGGACCAGCCCUAACUAGGUCAUCCCAGCCAAGGCUUUGUCUAGCCAGGUUUUGAAAACCUCCAAGGAUGGGGUGUCAGCCACUUUCUGGGUAGCCUGUUCCACUGUUUUACUACCCUCCUAGUGAAAAAAUUAUUCCUAAUAUCUAACCUAAACUUCCCUUGCUGCAAUUUGAGAUGGUUGCUCCUUGUUCUGUCACCUGCCAGCAUGGAGAACAGUCCGGCUCCAUCCUCUAUGGAACUGCACAUCGGGGAGAAUGCAAGUUUGUAAACUACCUGGGCGUGAUGUCAGCCUUGCCUACUUGGCCUUUUGCAUGUUGCGAGGAAGUUCAUUUAACCUGAAGAUAAAUUAUAGUAUUGGUGAUCAAAGCAAGAACACACAGGUAGAGUGGCCACUAACACAUCCCCAAAAUACAGGACAUCCCCUUGGUAAGGUGUGGGACCACCGGCCCUCUCAACCAAUCAGUGAUGAGGGACAGGGCUGCCAUGUCCUUGG
This 661-nucleotide long non-coding RNA is filed under the name Crocodylus porosus (Australian saltwater crocodile). RNAcentral's name for it is "lncRNA (ENSCPRG00005013844.1)". The record is from RNAcentral. Lineage: Eukaryota; Metazoa; Chordata; Crocodylia; Crocodylidae.